This 687-nucleotide unclassified non-coding RNA is filed under the name uncultured bacterium. RNAcentral describes it as "partial contains 16S ribosomal RNA, 16S-23S ribosomal RNA intergenic spacer, and 23S ribosomal RNA". The stretch from base 556 to 687 matches the Rfam family "Bacterial large subunit ribosomal RNA", at positions 1 to 131 of the family's 2925-position model. The record is from RNAcentral.
UGCGGCUGGAUCCCCUCCUUUUAGGGAGUCUGCCAAGACCUUCGGGUCGAGGCUGACAUCUCAGGUCAGUCGUUCCUUCGGUGAAGGAACGGAGCAAGAGAAAAUGCCAGCGCGAAGCGCGGCGUCGCAUGUCACCACUACCCAGUUUUGAGAGAGCCCUGAGGGUCGGGCAGGGACCGAGUCAUUGGCCCUUGCGCGGGCCUAUAGCUCAGGUGGUUAGAGCGCACGCCUGAUAAGCGUGAGGUCGGUAGUUCAAAUCUACCUAGGCCCACCACUUCUGAACGCGGGGCUGUAGCUCAGCUGGGAGAGCGCGGGCUUUGCAAGCCUGAGGUCGUCGGUUCGAUCCCGAUCAGCUCCACCACUUCUGCUCUCUCGAGUUGCGCGAUGCUCGAUGCUCAUAGAUCGCAAUCUGCGAUCCGGUGGUUAUCGAGGAUCACGCAAUGUGUCUCGUGACACUCAUCGAUGUCACGGAAGGUCUUUGAAAAUCUAAUCUAAGUUUUUGAGUGAUCGAGAAGUGCACUUUUGUGUAUAUCGAGGUUGCUCACCUAUAGUGGAGAUCAAGCUACUAAGGGCGUACGGCGGAUGCCUUGGCGCAAGUAGGCGAAGAAGGACGCGGUUAGCUGCGAUAAGCUUCGGGGAGCUGCUAAACAAGCUUCGAUCCGGAGAUUUCCGAAUGGGGAAACCCGG